CAUACACACAUACACACACACACACGCAAUAAAGGAAAUCAUUACACAGCGAUGAUGAUGAGACUGGCUCUUGUUUUUGUGGGUAUUUGUACGGUACUUUCAGUAGGGUAUGCCGUGCCAGUCCCCACCCCCGGGGCCUGCAGCCAGCCGCUGUCCAUGUGUAAAGCUGACCCCUGCAGUGUAGAGAGGUGCAUCUCGUUUCCUAUGGCCGACUGUGUGGCCAACUACUGCGGAGGAUGCACAGCCAUGUUCUACUUUAAUGGCCAACUACUGAGCGACGAAAUUUGCUCUGCGAUCAUUGUUUAAAGAAAAACAAUUUUUUUCUUUUGUUUAUUAAAAAUGUAUUGAAUUAAG
This is a long non-coding RNA of Physella acuta, 354 nucleotides long. RefSeq lists it as uncharacterized. Lineage: Eukaryota; Metazoa; Mollusca; Gastropoda; Physidae. The record is from RefSeq and is a predicted model, not a curated record.